CCUACGGGAGGCAGCAGUAGGGAAUUUUUCGCAAUGGGCGAAAGCCUGACGCAGCAACGCCGCGUGAUUGCUUAAGCCCUUCGGGGUGUACAGAUCUGUCAGUGGGGACGAAACUUGACGGUACCCACAGAGGAAGCACCGGCUAACUCCGUGCCAGCAGCCGCGGUAAUACGGAGGGUGCGCGCGUUGUCCUGAUUCAUUGGGGGUAAAGAGUUCGUGGGGGGCAAAUUAAGUCUGGGGUUAAAUGCAGAAGCUCAACUUCUGUUCGGAACUGAAAACUGGUAAGCUGGAAUGGGGAAGGGGAAAAGGAAGUCCUGGUGUAGCGGUGAAAUGCGUAGAUAUCAGGAGGAACAUCGGUGGCGUAAGCGCGUUACUGGGCCGUAAUUGACACUGAGGAACGAAAGCCGGGGUAGCAAAUGGGAUUAGAUACCCCUGUAGUC
RNAcentral lists this ribosomal RNA (440 nucleotides) under uncultured bacterium. Its description in RNAcentral is "partial 16S ribosomal RNA". It matches the Rfam family "Bacterial small subunit ribosomal RNA", at positions 338 to 795 of the family's 1533-position model. The record is from RNAcentral.